Molecule: unclassified non-coding RNA, 202 nt
Filed under: Hevea brasiliensis (rubber tree)
Lineage: Eukaryota; Viridiplantae; Streptophyta; Magnoliopsida; Malpighiales; Euphorbiaceae
Source: RNAcentral
AAAAGUAAUCAGCUUAAGUUUACGGGAAAGGUGUUAUUCACCUAUUAGGUAUAAUUGAUAGUUAACAGGCAUUUAAAUAAAUAAAUUUAAGUAUUUAAUAAGUUUUAAAAAAUAAAAUUAAUAGGUGAUGGAUUAGUGAUAUGAUAUUUAUCGGCUACAAUUUGUACCAACUCUAUUUUUAGGUAACUAAUUUGAUUUUAUU